AUACCUUUCUCUGCCUUUUGGCUAAGAUCAAGCGUAGUAUCUGUUCUUAUCAUCUGAUAACUAGGGUUUUCAAGUGUCGCUUGGGUAUUGCACUAUUGUCCUAGUCUGGCGCACCCCAA
Molecule: small nuclear RNA, 119 nt
Filed under: Sorghum bicolor (sorghum)
Lineage: Eukaryota; Viridiplantae; Streptophyta; Magnoliopsida; Poales; Poaceae
Description: snRNA U2
Rfam family: U2 spliceosomal RNA
About the family: U2 is a small nuclear RNA (snRNA) component of the spliceosome (involved in pre-mRNA splicing). Complementary binding between U2 snRNA (in an area lying towards the 5' end but 3' to hairpin I) and the branchpoint sequence (BPS) of the intron results the bulging out of an unpaired adenosine, on the BPS, which initiates a nucleophilic attack at the intronic 5' splice site, thus starting the first of two transesterification reactions that mediate splicing.
Source: Rfam by way of RNAcentral